Molecule: ribosomal RNA, 484 nt
Filed under: uncultured bacterium
Lineage: Bacteria
Description: partial 16S ribosomal RNA
Rfam family: Bacterial small subunit ribosomal RNA
Source: RNAcentral
AUUGAACGCUGGCGGUAGGCCUAACACAUGCAAGUCGAGCGGAUGAAGGGAGCUUGCUCCUGGAUUCAGCGGCGGACGGGUGAGUAAUGCCUAGGAAUCUGCCUGGUAGUGGGGGAUAACGUCCGGAAACGGGCGCUAAUACCGCAUACGUCCUGAGGGAGAAAGUGGGGGAUCUUCGGACCUCACGCUAUCAGAUGAGCCUAGGUCGGAUUAGCUAGUUGGUGGGGUAAAGGCCUACCAAGGCGACGAUCCGUAACUGGUCUGAGGGGAUGAUCAGUCACACUGGAACUGAGACACGGUCCAGACUCCUACGGGAGGCAGCAGUGGGGAAUAUUGGACAAUGGGCGAAAGCCUGAUCCAGCCAUGCCGCGUGUGUGAAGAAGGUCUUCGGAUUGUAAAGCACUUUAAGUUGGGAGGAAGGGCAGUAAGUUAAUACCUUGCUGUUUUGACGUUACCAACAGAAUAAGCACCGGCUAACUUCGUG